UUAAAAUGUCACGUGUCACACAGAAACUAAUCGCUUUCUAAAAGAGAUUUGGAGGAGGGAGAGAUGGCUCCCAGCUGAAGAGGAUCACAAACAGCUGGGAGGUGGCAUUGGCAGCCAGAUCUGAAAGACGGGGCAGUUCUGUCCCUGUGGCAAUGGCAGGAAAGCCUUCCAUGUGCAGAAGAUGUGUGCACAGAAGCCGGGAGGCGGGACAUUCUGGGGUGUGGGUGAAGGUGAGAGCAGGUCACACUCAGGUUGGCAGGAAUACAAGACACCUGAACAAGGAAAUGAGCUGGAUAAGGGCGGCUGGAGUGAAACUGGAAUGGGGCCUGGAGGCAGGGUGCAGGAGUCUCCCAGGGCUCUCAGCGGCUCAUCAGGGCCCCGCCAGUAACACCGGCUCAGGGCAGGUCCCCACAACAGACAACUGAGACCUGGAGAAACCCAGGGACAACCAGGAAUGGGAGUCGGUGAGGGCGGAGCUCUGCUCUGCCACAGAGGGCCUUGGAACCAGAAAUCAAAGAACGCUGUUCCACAGGGCUACUGAGAAGCACAGCGCUUAGCAGCCAGCAAAGGCUCCUUUAGGACCUGUCUGUUCCUGCUUUGUCCUCUUCUGCCAGCUUUUGAUCAGAGCGGGAAGCACACUGGCAGAUUCUUUACCUGCUGAGCCAUCAGGGAAGCCCAGGCCCACAGUGAACAAGGGUUACCUAAAGAUUUCAGAAUCUUGCAGAAGAUUGCAUCAUCACGAAUAUGGAGAAAACAAUGACCAUUUUGGUUAAAGUGAGUCAACUGAAAAUCUUUGCCAAAACACCAAGGAUGGCUUCUUGAAAAACCAAAAGUUUCUUACACUUAGGCUUAGAGAAAGUAAGUUGACACAAAUGACACUUAGGUCCCCCAGCUCAUCUCAUCUUUAUGACUGCUGGUGAAGGUGUUUGUUAGUUGGUUUGUUUUUUUAAGAAAUGAGGAAACAGGCUCAGGAAGUGACUUGGCCACGGAAAGUACUGAACAGGAGAGCGAGAAUUUGCAAUUGGCUCCGUCUGACUCUUCAGUCACUCUCUCACACCUUCUCUGCAGGUGGCCACAUCUGUGGAUGUGCAGACAAUUCUCCAAAAAUGAAGGACCCCAUCCUGUAAUGCUAAACUUUUUACCUCUUAGGUCCUUAGCCCAGAUUCCCCAAAGUAGUGCCACAGGAGGUGGGGAGAGACAGGGAUUGAAAUCUAGGAAGAAAGUAGCUUUUUAUGCCUGAGUAUAUUUUACGGCUAUUUCUGGGACUGACAUUUAAUCGGCCUAAGGCUCUCUGUAACUGCCUACUUGUGGCUGUGUCUUUCCUGGCCCUGGGGAGAAGAGCUCCUUUGUUUCAGAGAAUUCCGUCCCCAAAACGCUCUAUUUCUACCUGAAGCUAUCCCACAAGUUCCAUUCAUGGCCUGGGUCAGUUCCUGUUACAGUGAAAUCCAGGAUUAGGAAACUUUCUAUUCUGGAGGAUGAAAAGAUUUUCACACUCUAGGAUAUGGCCCACUUGUUUUGAAAAAUACAGUGAAGCAUCAUUAAUUUGGACUGUGCUCCUUCACAAUUGCUGAUGAUGCUAAAACUGAAUAGAAUGGAGUUUAAGUCAACAUUAAGAAAAAAAAAAAACAGGAAAAGAAAAAAGAGAAGGAGAAAUGGAGCAAAGAAUGAACUAUACAUGGCCCUCUGCAGAAUGCUACAGGAACAGAUGGGAGUAAGAAGCUACUCCUAUUCUCAAGGAGUUUACUGGAGUUUACAAGUUUCUAAGAUAAUUAUAAUAGAGUCCACAAGCUAGCAUGAGCAAAGAGUCAUAGCUUCCUGGGCUUGGAAAGAAUUU
This is a long non-coding RNA of Capra hircus (goat), 1834 nucleotides long. RefSeq lists it as uncharacterized. The transcript has 2 exons. The record is from RefSeq and is a predicted model, not a curated record. Lineage: Eukaryota; Metazoa; Chordata; Mammalia; Artiodactyla; Bovidae.